RNAcentral lists this ribosomal RNA (326 nucleotides) under uncultured bacterium. RNAcentral describes it as "bacterial SSU rRNA". It matches the Rfam family "Bacterial small subunit ribosomal RNA", at positions 28 to 334 of the family's 1533-position model. The record is from RNAcentral.
GAUGAACGCUGGCGGCGUGCUUAACACAUGCAAGUCGAACGAAGCACAUACGGCGGAACUUUUCGGAGGGAAGAUGUAUGUGACUGAGUGGCGGACGGGUGAGUAACGCGUGGGUAACCUGCCCCAUAGAGGGGGACAACAGUUGGAAACGACUGCUAAUACCGCAUAAGAAAGAAUUGCCGCAUGGCAGUUUUUUGAAAGAUUUAUCGCUAUGGGAUGGACCCGCGUCUGAUUAGCUAGUUGGGAGGGUAACGGCCUACCAAGGCAACGAUCAGUAGCCGGCUUGAGAGAGUGAACGGCCACAUUGGGACUGAGACACGGCCCAG